ACAGCUUCCUGUCCGAGGGAUGAGUGGCUGCAGGCGGGUUGGGGGCUCUAGAGCCCUUUUUCAGAGGGUGAGGAGCAAGCUCUGCUAGAGACGACUCCCCAGGGCCACAGCUGAUGCACAGAUAGGACUCAAGACAAGAAGUUGAAAUGGAACAAGAUGAGCACGGAUGACGGGGCUCCUGGGCCUUUCUCUCUGGAGUCCCCACCCCUCAGGCAGGGACAGCACAGGCAGGAUGGGGGUGUCAGGCGGCUCCCAGGGCGACAGCACAGAUGGCACAUGGACAUGAAGGCACAGUAGGCACAGGACUGUGCUCUGGCAAAGCUGCGUUCAGACUCUUGAGCCGUUACCUGGAGUGGAGUCACCUCUGGCACAGCUGCGUCCACAGGAGCCCAGGCAGCCAGGAGCAACCCUGGGGCGGGCAGGCAGGGCUCUGUCCGGCUGCCCAGGAAGACGCACAGGGCGGGGGCAGAGCCCUAAGCUUUCCUGAGGACUGUGUGUUUUCUAAGAACCUGAAACACUUUUUGGACUGUGAGUUUUUAAUAAAGUAUGCGGAAGAGACUGA
Molecule: long non-coding RNA, 562 nt
Organism: Sapajus apella (tufted capuchin)
Lineage: Eukaryota; Metazoa; Chordata; Mammalia; Primates; Cebidae
Exons: 2
Source: RefSeq, a predicted model, not a curated record